Molecule: ribosomal RNA, 681 nt
Filed under: Pseudomonas sp. SA062
Lineage: Bacteria; Pseudomonadati; Pseudomonadota; Gammaproteobacteria; Pseudomonadales; Pseudomonadaceae
Description: bacterial SSU rRNA
Rfam family: Bacterial small subunit ribosomal RNA
Source: RNAcentral
CAGGAGCUUGCUCCUGAAUUCAGCGGCGGACGGGUGAGUAAUGCCUAGGAAUCUGCCUGGUAGUGGGGGACAACGUUUCGAAAGGAACGCUAAUACCGCAUACGUCCUACGGGAGAAAGCAGGGGACCUUCGGGCCUUGCGCUAUCAGAUGAGCCUAGGUCGGAUUAGCUAGUUGGUGAGGUAAUGGCUCACCAAGGCGACGAUCCGUAACUGGUCUGAGAGGAUGAUCAGUCACACUGGAACUGAGACACGGUCCAGACUCCUACGGGAGGCAGCAGUGGGGAAUAUUGGACAAUGGGCGAAAGCCUGAUCCAGCCAUGCCGCGUGUGUGAAGAAGGUCUUCGGAUUGUAAAGCACUUUAAGUUGGGAGGAAGGGCAUUAACCUAAUACGUUAGUGUUUUGACGUUACCGACAGAAUAAGCACCGGCUAACUCUGUGCCAGCAGCCGCGGUAAUACAGAGGGUGCAAGCGUUAAUCGGAAUUACUGGGCGUAAAGCGCGCGUAGGUGGUUUGUUAAGUUGGAUGUGAAAUCCCCGGGCUCAACCUGGGAACUGCAUUCAAAACUGACAAGCUAGAGUAUGGUAGAGGGUGGUGGAAUUUCCUGUGUAGCGGUGAAAUGCGUAGAUAUAGGAAGGAACACCAGUGGCGAAGGCGACCACCUGGACUGAUACUGACACUGAG